UACACUCCUACGGGAGGCAACAGUGGGGAAUAUUGGCCAAUGGGCGCAAGCCUGAUCCAGCCAUGCCGCGUGAGUGAUGAAGGCCCUAGGGUUGUAAAGCUCUUUCACCGGUGAAGAUAAUGACGGUAACCGGAGAAGAAGCCCCGGCUAACUUCGUGCCAGCGGCCGCGGUAAUACGAAGGGGGCUAGCGUUGUUCGGAUUUACUGGGCGUAAAGCGCACGUAGGCGGACUAUUAAGUCAGGGGUGAAAUCCCGGGGCUCAACCCCGGAACUGCCUUUGAUACUGGUAGUCUUGAGUUCGAGAGAGGUGAGUGGAAUUCCGAGUGUAGAGGUGAAAUUCGUAGAUAUUCGGAGGAACACCAGUGGCGAAGGCGGCUCACUGGCUCGAUACUGACGCUGAGGUGCGAAAGCGUGGGGAGCAAACAGGAUUAGAAACCCUAGUAGUCCC
RNAcentral lists this ribosomal RNA (448 nucleotides) under uncultured organism. Its description in RNAcentral is "partial 16S ribosomal RNA". It matches the Rfam family "Bacterial small subunit ribosomal RNA", at positions 332 to 797 of the family's 1533-position model. The record is from RNAcentral.